UACGGAGGAUCCGAGCGUUAUCCGGAUUUAUUGGGUUUAAAGGGUGCGCAGGCGGGAGAUUAAGUCGGCGGUGAAAUUUUGCAGCUCAACUGUAAAAGUGCCUUCGAAACUGGUUUCCUUGAGUGUAGAUGAAGUAGGCGGAAUUUGUGGUGUAGCGGUGAAAUGCAUAGAUAUCACGAGGAACUCCGAUUGCGCAGGCAGCUUACUGGGAUGCAACUGACGCUGAGGCACGAAAGCGUGGGUAUCAAACAGGAUUAGAUACCCCGGUA
Molecule: ribosomal RNA, 269 nt
Filed under: uncultured prokaryote
Description: partial 16S ribosomal RNA
Rfam family: Bacterial small subunit ribosomal RNA
Source: RNAcentral